AACGAACGCUGGCGGCAUGCCUAACACAUGCAAGUCGAACGAGACCUUCGGGUCUAGUGGCGCACGGGUGCGUAACGCGUGGGAACCUGCCCUUAGGUUCGGAAUAACUCCCCGAAAGGGGUGCUAAUACCGGAUAAUGUCUUCGGACCAAAGAUUUAUCGCCUUUGGAUGGGCCCGCGUUGGAUUAGCUAGGUGGUAGGGUAAAAGCCUAUCAAGGCGACGAUCCAUAGCUGGUCUGAGAGGAUGAUCAGCCACACUGGGACUGAGACACGGCCCAGACUCCUACGGGGGGGAGGAGUGGGGAAUAUUGGGCAAUGGGGCGAAGCCUGAUCCAGCAAUGCCGGGUGAGUGGUGAAGGCCUUAGGGUUGUAAAGCUCUUUUACCCGGGAUGAUAAUGACAGUACCGGGAGAAUAAGCUCCGGCUAACUCCGUG
RNAcentral lists this ribosomal RNA (433 nucleotides) under uncultured bacterium. RNAcentral describes it as "partial 16S ribosomal RNA". It matches the Rfam family "Bacterial small subunit ribosomal RNA", at positions 29 to 507 of the family's 1533-position model. The record is from RNAcentral.